This 253-nucleotide ribosomal RNA is filed under the name uncultured bacterium. RNAcentral's name for it is "partial 16S ribosomal RNA". It matches the Rfam family "Bacterial small subunit ribosomal RNA", at positions 524 to 776 of the family's 1533-position model. The record is from RNAcentral.
UACGGAGGGUGCAAGCGUUAUCCGGAUUUAUUGGGUUUAAAGGGUGCGUAGGCGGUUUGAUAAGUCAGCGGUGAAAUAUUUCAGCUUAACUGGAAGGGUGCCGUUGAUACUGUCAGGCUUGAAUUUAGUUGCUGUGGGUGGAAUGUGUGGUGUAGCGGUGAAAUGCAUAGAUAUCACACAGAAUAUCGAUUGCGAAGGCAGCUCACAAAGCUAAAAUUGACGCUGAUGCACGAAAGUGUGGGGAUCAAACAGG